GGACUACAGGGGUUUCUAAUCCCGUUUGCUCCCCUGGCUUUCGCGCCUCAGCGUCAGAAGUGGUCCAGCACGUCGCUUUCGCCACCGGCGUUCCUUCCGAUAUCAACGCAUUUCACCGCUCCACCGGAAGUUCCACAUGCCCCUACCACCCUCGAGAGCGCCAGUAUCCAGGGCUAUUUUCCGGUUAAGCCGAAAGAUUUCACCCCAGACUUGGCGACCCGCCUACGCGCCCUUUAAGCCCAGUGAUUCCGAACAACGUUAGGACGGUUCGUCUUACCGCGGCUGCUGGCAC
RNAcentral lists this ribosomal RNA (292 nucleotides) under uncultured Planctomycetota bacterium. Its description in RNAcentral is "uncultured planctomycete partial 16S ribosomal RNA". The record is from RNAcentral. Lineage: Bacteria; Pseudomonadati; Planctomycetota.